UCCUUCUGUCCUGUAUAAUUCUAUGAAAUCCUUGAACUCAUAUUCUACUGGAGGAACAAGGACCAGACUACAUGGAUUCUGAUGAUUCCUCCGCACUUACUUCCUUUUGAUUAAUUGAUGGGAAGAGCUGGAUAAAGAA
Molecule: long non-coding RNA, 139 nt
Organism: Callorhinchus milii (elephant shark)
Lineage: Eukaryota; Metazoa; Chordata; Chondrichthyes; Chimaeriformes; Callorhinchidae
Exons: 2
Source: RefSeq, a predicted model, not a curated record